Carassius auratus (goldfish) is the source of this 1033-nucleotide long non-coding RNA. RefSeq lists it as uncharacterized. NCBI's taxonomy places the organism in Eukaryota, Metazoa, Chordata, Actinopteri, Cypriniformes, Cyprinidae. The transcript has 4 exons. The record is from RefSeq and is a predicted model, not a curated record.
GCCAACCUGUCUGUAUUUCAAUGUAGAUCUUCAAACGAAAAAAUGGAAAAAGGAAUUUCAAAAAACCAAAAUCGGACCGUUAUUUGAUUUUGGUUUUGUCAUUUUUCGUUUUUGGAUUUAGAACCAAAAACGAGAGAACGGCUCUUUUUUUACUGUUUCUUUGAUUUUGGUUUGAAACGACAAACGAAAAACAGGAAAGAGAGGGCUGAAUUUGAAAAGAAGAGGAUGGAGGAAAUUGCAAAUUAGGAGGAGCUUGAAAGAGACGAACAUAAGAAACUGCAGCGUGAAAGGAAGCUUUUUGAAAAGCAUGCAGCAACUGUAAGAGCAAGACCUGACAAACAAGAACAAGAUGAGAUCCAGGCUCUAAAGCAGCAGUUGAAUGCAAACGAGAGGCUCCUUGGAUCAACACACAGCCGUCUCCGACAGCAGAUAGACAUUUUGAGUGCAGAGAAUGCAGCCCUCAGAGACCAAGUGCAGAUGCAGGAGAAACCACACCUCAGUGCGUGGAAGAGUGCUGAGAAAGAGAAGGAAAAAGGAAAGUGCUCUGUGUCUGGCAAAAGAACCAAUACUGGAUCCAAAUCUACAGAUUCCAGGGCAAGUGGAGUGGCAGGUCUGAAAAGUUUCUGCACCCUCCCCUUUAUACAGGGAUGGCAGUAAGGUGAUCCAGUUUAACCCAGGUCAGCGAGAGAUCCAGACUGCAGAUUUUAAAAGACCGGAGUAUCCAGACUGUACGGUUAAAACGGUUUACUCGAAUGGACGGCAAGAGACAAAAUACCCUACAGGACGUGUUAAGGUUAAAAGAUGCACAGGGUCAUGUCAUUAUGGACACCAAGGCAUGAACACUGUUUUAUUUUAAAUGAAAGGAAAAUUAACUGACUUAAAUGAAGUUGAGUGAAAUAAUGUUUGUACUGUGUAAAUGUGUAAAAAGUAAUUUCUGUAAAAAAUCUUUGCAUGUUGUUUAACAGUUAUGCAUGACAAGGUAAUACUUUUAAAUGGUAUUUUUAGAGUGAUAAAAAUGAGCUUGAUGCCAUUA